Molecule: long non-coding RNA, 309 nt
Filed under: Carica papaya (papaya)
Lineage: Eukaryota; Viridiplantae; Streptophyta; Magnoliopsida; Brassicales; Caricaceae
Description: long non-coding RNA (CPAP_LNC015513)
Source: RNAcentral
UAAUAGUGAUGAAGUAUACAACAUGUAUCUGUUUUACGAUUUGUGCUUUCGUCUUCUGAUUUGUAUCUGUUUUACGAUUUGUGCUUUCGUCUUCUGAUUCGUAUCUGUUUUGGAAAGAUUAUAUGAUAUAUGUUCUGUUGUGUGUAAAGAAACUAUAUAUUGCAUGUACUAUAUUGUGAUUUCAAAUAUUGCUUAUUGGGAUAUUUUAUCUCACCCCUCCUAUCAUCCUCCAUAUACAGAAAAUACCGCUGCAGAGUGAGCAGUGAUACGGAAGAAAUCUCUAAAGCCUAAACUCUAAAAUUAAAUUAC